This 199-nucleotide ribosomal RNA is filed under the name Rhodomonas lens. RNAcentral's name for it is "partial Bacterial small subunit ribosomal RNA". It matches the Rfam family "Bacterial small subunit ribosomal RNA", at positions 589 to 787 of the family's 1533-position model. The record is from RNAcentral. Lineage: Eukaryota; Cryptophyceae; Pyrenomonadales; Pyrenomonadaceae.
CAACUGUUAAAUCUUGAAGCUCAACUUCAAAAUCGCAGUCGAAACUAUUAGACUAGAGUAUAGUAGGGGUAAAGGGAAUUUCCAGUGGAGCGGUGAAAUGCGUAGAGAUUGGAAAGAACACCGAUGGCGAAGGCACUUUACUGGGCUAUUACUGACACUCAGAGACGAAAGCUAGGGUAGCAAAUGGGAUUAGAUACCC